UACGUAGGAAGCAAGCGUUGUCCGGAAUCACUGGGCGUAAAGCGCGUGUAGGCGGUAUGGCAAGUCUGCUGUGAAAGCUCUCGGCUUAACCGGGAGAGGUCGGUGGAAACUGCCACACUGGAGGACGGUAGAGGGGGGUGGAAUUCCCGGUGUAGUGGUGAAAUGCGUAGAGAUCGGGAGGAACACCGGUGGCGAAGGCGGCCCCCUGGGCCGGCCCUGACGCUGAGACGCGAAAGCGCGGGGAGCGAACGGG
Molecule: ribosomal RNA, 253 nt
Filed under: uncultured bacterium
Lineage: Bacteria
Description: partial 16S ribosomal RNA
Rfam family: Bacterial small subunit ribosomal RNA
Source: RNAcentral